This 177-nucleotide microRNA precursor is filed under the name Medicago truncatula (barrel medic). RNAcentral's name for it is "MIR2619 microRNA precursor family". It matches the Rfam family "MIR2619 microRNA precursor family". The record is from Rfam by way of RNAcentral. Lineage: Eukaryota; Viridiplantae; Streptophyta; Magnoliopsida; Fabales; Fabaceae.
AAACCGCCCCUUAAGUUUUGCAAUUGUAGCAGUUUUGGCCCCCCAAGGUCAAGUUUUGGUAAAAUAAAAUAAAAUAACACGUGGCACCUCAUUUAGGGUGCCACGUCAGUGUAGACCGAGUCAAAAUUGAUCUUGGUGGCCAAAACUGCCACAUAUGCAAAACUUAGGGGGUGGUUU